UGGUCAAGUUAUUAAGGGUGCAGGGUGGAUGCCUUGGCACUAGGAGCCGAUGAAGGACGUGAUAAGCUGCGAUAAGCUUCGGGGAGUUGCACGUAAACUUUGAUCCGAAGAUUUCCGAAUGAGGAAACUCACUUAGAGUAAUGUCUAAGUAUCAUUAAGUGAAUACAUAGCUUAAUGAGGGGAACUCAGGGAACUGAAACAUCUAAGUACCUGAAGGAAGAGAAAGAAAUUCGAUUCCGUAAGUAGCGGCGAGCGAACGCGGAUUAGCCCAAACCAAUAAAGUUUUCUUUAUUGGGGUUGCGGACAUAUCAUAACGAAGAGGUAUCGUAAUUGAAGAGGUUUGGAAAGACCCACCACAGAAGGUAAUAGUCCUGUAUGUUAAACGAGAAGACUUCAGAUAUGAUCCAGAGUACCACGGGACACGUGAAACCCUGUGGGAAGCAGGAGGGACCACCCUCCAAGGCUAAAUACUACCUAGUGACCGAUAGCGUAUAGUACCGUGAGGGAAAGGUGAAAAGAACCCCGGGAGGGGAGUGAAAUAGAACCUGAAACCCUGCACUUACAAGCUGUGGAAGCACAUUUCUUGUGUGACCGCGUACUUUUUGUAGAACGGGCCAACGAGUUACGUUAAGUAGCAAGGUUAAGCACUUAAGGUGCGGAGCCGUAGCGAAAGCGAGUUUUAACUGAGCGUUCAGUUACUUGACGUAGACCCGAAACCGGGCGACCUACCCAUGAGCAGGAUGAAGCGAAAGUAAAAUUUCGUGGAGGUCCGAACCCACGAGCGUUGAAAAGCUCGGGGAUGACUUGUGGGUAGCGGUGAAAUUCCAAUCGAGCCCGGAGAUAGCUGGUUCUCCCCGAAAUAGCUUUAGGGCUAGCCUCAAGGUGAGAGAUACGGAGGUAGAGCACUGAAUGUCCUAGGGGGUAUUGCACCUACCGAAGACUAUCAAACUCCGAAUGCCGUCAUCUUAUACUUGGGAGUCAGACUGUGGGUGAUAAGAUUCAUAGUCGAAAGGGCAACAGCCCAGAUCGUCAGCUAAGGUCCCUAAAUGUAAGUUAAGUGGUAAAGGAUGUGGGAUUGCACAGACAACCAGGAUGUUGGCUUAGAAGCAGCCACUCAUUCAAAGAGUGCGUAAUAGCUCACUGGUCGAGUGAUCCUGCGCCGAAGAUUUCCGGGGCUAAAACUUACUACCGAAGCUACGGCAUCAGUAAUGAUGGGUAGGGGAGCUUCCCAUACGGGUUGAAGCAUGACCGUAAGGACAUGUGGACAGUAUGGAGUGAGAAUGUUGGCAUGAGUAGCGAGAUGUGGGUGAGAAUCCCACA
This 1320-nucleotide ribosomal RNA is filed under the name Clostridioides difficile. RNAcentral describes it as "partial 23S ribosomal RNA". It matches the Rfam family "Bacterial large subunit ribosomal RNA", at positions 1 to 1334 of the family's 2925-position model. Lineage: Bacteria; Bacillati; Bacillota; Clostridia; Peptostreptococcales; Peptostreptococcaceae. The record is from RNAcentral.